Tachysurus fulvidraco (yellow catfish) is the source of this 3378-nucleotide RNA transcript. It is a transcript of the gene named BCL2 like 11, with no coding region annotated. NCBI's taxonomy places the organism in Eukaryota, Metazoa, Chordata, Actinopteri, Siluriformes, Bagridae. The transcript is spliced from 6 exons. The record is from RefSeq and is a predicted model, not a curated record.
CAUGCUGAAUUAUUUAGCCGUGUUGUGGAAAACACGGGAGCGCGAGCACCUGUUUGUUGUUGUUUUGCUCUCUGUUGCCCACACGCACGAGCGCCGGAUCAAAGUCGUCGGGAUGGUAAAAUGAUUGGGUUUCGGCUUUGAUAACCUUCACAGAACUGCACACGAGAUUCCCUUCAUAUGACUUUAACGCAACACCUAUAAAAUCACUAUGAUAUAAAAACUAGAAGGUUACCAGGGAGUGUUAUUUAUGUAUAUUCUCAGUCUACACUAUGCGGAUGCUUGAAUAUUUUUUUUUCGCUUAUUUGCGAAGGGGCAGUUGCGCAAAGUUGAGCCACUAGGAGGAGCUCAAAUUUCCAGAAAACUUUAUUUGUGGAUGAAUUAUUUUGUUUGGCUUUUUGUCUGCCAGUCAACUGCACGGCAAUCCAAUCGUUUGUGAUGCCGAGGACACGCGCUUCCGUCUCGCGCUUCGUGCCGCUUAUAUACUCCGCCACCUCGCCGUGGGCACGAGCGCCUCUCCUAAUGUUUACAGCCGUGUGGAACAUUUCGCAGCGUGGACUCAACUGCACACUACGUCGCCCACGGCAAAACCGGGCCGAUGGCCCAGCCUUCUUAAAGGAGCAGGGGGAACGCGGAGAGAGCGGCUCCCGGGCCGAGCCGUGUGAGAGCCCUCAGCCGAGCGAAUUGGACGUGUUUUAUAGGGCAGCGUUCGCGGUGCCGAAUAUCCGUUUGGCUUACCAGUCAAGGUCGCCUGUGUUCAGAACCCUCUCCAGGUCGUCCAGUGGAUAUUUUUCGUUCGACAGUGAACCGAGUUCUCCGCUAAUCACCCAUAGCACCGCCACUCAGACCCCGAGUCCGUCUAGUCAAGUGAUAACUCACGCCCUGCAGCGCAUUUCAGAAGCGCGAGGCGACGCGCACAAUCAUGGAAAACUUUAUCUUCUGGCAGUCAAAAUAAUCUUUUGUGAAGCCCAGACACGAGAGCCAACCAUCUCUGUUUUCUGCUAUAGAAAGAUGGCAACCAGGAACAAGAUAAAGACAACAGGAAAAAGAAUUAUGGUCUGCUCUCCAUAACCACUAUCUACCCCACGGAGCAGCAUCUGCGGGGGACAUGCAAGCGGAGCGAGAGAUUGCGCGAGAGUUGCGGCGCAUCGGCGAUGAAUUUAACCAGCUUUAUUUUCGUGAGGCAGAAAGAAACGGCGGCGUGGCCCCUCAACAGGCCCAGAACGAGCCGGCCAUCGUGGUGUGGAUGGGGCUCCUGAUUGGUCGGCUGUUACAGUACUUCCUGAGACAAAGAUGAUGGACAGAGAGAGCACCCAGCAGACAAGUAGCACCAGACUGUAGAUAUGUAAAUACACAGCGUCAGAAACUGCUCUCUCUCGCUCUCUCUCUCGCUCUCUCUCUCUCUCUCUCUCUCUCGCUCUCUCUCUUUCUAUGAGAGCACCUGAUUAUAUAUCAACUGAAAGCAGACGACUUUGACAUUCCCUGUCCAGAAUUAGGAUGUGCUGGUAUUGGGUGGGGAAUUCUGGGAUUUAACUUGGAUUCAUGGACAGCUAUGUUUCCUGCAUGAACAUGAAAAGCUGAGCCAUUAAAACACUGGGUUGAGAAGGGUGGCGAGACCUCUCUCUCUCUCUCCCUCUCUCUCACUUUCCCUCUGUCUCCCUCUCUCUCUCUGUCUGUCUGUCUCUCUCACUCUCAUCUCUCUCUUCUCUCUCUCUCUCUCUGGAGGGUGUUUUUGUAAAGACAUUUGGAAUGGAUGUGCCUUCAUGGCCUCAGUGCUUUAGUCUUUCACCCUCGGUGCCUGUUUUCCGUUUCUUUUGUUUUUUUUUCUUUUGCUUGUUUGUUUUUAAAUUGUGUAUAUCUUUUUAUCUGCCUUUUGUUCUGUAUUUAUUUGCCACUGUUAUAUUUAAGUUGUGUUUUGUUUUCUUGUUUAAAAUGGAAGUGGAUUAGUUAGCGGUAAUGUUGCAGUUCUGCCUACCCCGUUUUUUUUACUGACUUGCUCUUUACCGAAAUUUGCACUUCUGUUCAAAUCGUAUCCACAAGACGUUACACAGAAUGUUCCGGAUAAUCAUUUAUUGCCUGAAGAUCUCGGUGGAAACAAGGAAACAUGCGACUGGUUAUCAGAGGCUUAUGAGAGCUGUAGAAACGGAGCCACCUUCUGGCUGAGGGACAGCCGGCCCUUAGUACGGUGCGAUUUUCACACUGUUAUUCUCCAGAGAACCCUUUCACGCUUUGAGGCCAAGUGACCUAAUACUGUCGAAGCACAACACCAACCCUCACGGAGCAGCCUUUAAUGAAAAUGAAUGAAAGUGAGCAAGAGAGUUUUUUUUACACAGUGACGAGACUUUAAAGUGAUUUUGAUGAAAUUUUUAUUUUUAAACAAAUGAAUAAUUUUAAUUGUUUAAAAUUGGACCUAUGGUGAAAUGUAAUGAAUGAACGGUUUUAUUAAUACACGUGGUUGUUCAGGUGUGGUUGCAUUGGCCGUUUCAUCGUGGGUGGUACGUCCACACAGUGUGUGUGAGUGUGUGUGAGAUUAAAGCUAUUCAGCGGAUUUUCAAGCGGUUUUAUUUUCUUGCUGACCCAGAAGAGCCUUAAUCACGAGUCUAGAGUCAACCUUGAUGUAAUGAUGUUAUAAAAAUAGCCUCAGUGACUGUAGAGUUUAAAACACUCGGCUUCCUUCACGAUUCAGUUGAUGGCAUUAACGUGCAUCUCCACAAACCGUUGAUUAUGCAUUGCUAUUUCCCCAGUAUUGCAUCGAGACCUACAUUAUUGGCACUUAACAACUGAUACGAUAAUUAUGUUAAAUAUGUUAACUGAUGUUAAUAGACAUCCAGAUGAAUCAACUGAUUUGUGUCAUUGAUUUUUUGUUUUGUUUUGUUUUUUAAUCAUUCCUUUCAUUCCCAGUGAAAUUUCUCGUCACAAGCGGUAUUUAGCUUGUCUUAACUGUUUCAGGUUUAGCAAUCAAACCAAAGAACGUUUUUCGACAUACUGUAACAGUUGAAUUUUGUAUUAUGUUCUUUGAUAUGUUUGCCUUGUGUACAAUCAACCAUAUAAAGAUCGGAAUACAAUCAAUCUCCCGGUAUCAGAAAUGUCAUAUAGUCCAUGUUCAAAUAUUUGUGCACCUUCCUCCCUACUUUUUUUCCACCAAACAAACAGAAGAUCAUUUACAGGUCGAUCUGCAUUCCAGUUCACUGGCUUUUUAACCAGAUUCAGUCUCAUUACCUGCAAAUUAACUGAUCCACCUCACAGACCCAGUACAUUUGUAGCACAAUGUCUGUCUUUGAUUCUUUUUUUUUUUUUAAUUUGUUGAUUGCACUGAAUCUUUGCUCUGCUGACCUUGUGCAAUACUGCUGUAAAUAAAAGCUUCUUUUUCAUCUUUCUAAA